RNAcentral lists this microRNA precursor (90 nucleotides) under Canis lupus familiaris (dog). RNAcentral's name for it is "mir-8799 microRNA precursor family". It matches the Rfam family "mir-8799 microRNA precursor family". Lineage: Eukaryota; Metazoa; Chordata; Mammalia; Carnivora; Canidae. The record is from Rfam by way of RNAcentral.
UGGGGGAGGCCGGAUCCUGGGCUGUGUCCUGGCGCCUUGUGCUUCUGGGCCUGUGCUGUUGGAUUCACGUUCCCGGCUGUGCAGCUGCCU